RNAcentral lists this long non-coding RNA (203 nucleotides) under Nicotiana benthamiana. RNAcentral's name for it is "long non-coding RNA (NBEN_LNC035171)". The record is from RNAcentral. Lineage: Eukaryota; Viridiplantae; Streptophyta; Magnoliopsida; Solanales; Solanaceae.
AAUCAUUUUAUAUUCAUUUCAUUGCUUUUUGAGAGCCAAACUCUUGACUAAGUUGUGCGUUCUUGAGCGUAUUUAUUUACUCAUAUCUACUCUUCAAGAGAGGUCUGUUUAAGUGAGUGCUAAGUGUUUGUACACACUUGAAGGGAUAGUCUAAUCCCUUGUUGUAAGAAGGAAAAGUAGUUCCUUGGUUUGAAGUCUUGAGG